This 264-nucleotide long non-coding RNA is filed under the name Gallus gallus (chicken). Lineage: Eukaryota; Metazoa; Chordata; Aves; Galliformes; Phasianidae. The record is from RNAcentral.
GUUCAUGUGAGCAAAUGCAUUCACAAGGAUCAAAUCCACCUUCUGCCAUGGUUCCCUGGAUAAACCUGAACUUUUCUGUGAACACCGUGCUCCGGCCGCCGUCGCGGGGCUGCGGAGGGAGAGAGGUCCGCGGGGCGCUGCGCGGACGGGGCGGGCGGACUCGCUGAGGCGGCCCCGCGGCUCGGCCCCGCUGCUUGGGGCCGGCUCACACGUCAGCCGCCACGAGACCCGGAUCUGUCGGCUCCCGGCGGCGGCGGAGGGCCG